GAAUAUUGGACAAUGGGGGAAACCCUGAUCCAGCAAUGCCGCGUGGGUGAUGAAGGCCUUCGGGUUGUAAAGCCCUUUUGGCGGGGACGCUGAUGACGGUACCCGCAGAAUAAUCCCCGGCUAACUUCGUGCCAGCAGCCGCGGUAAUACGAAGGGGGCUAGCGUUGUUCGGAAUUACUGGGCGUAAAGGGCGCGCAGGCGGCUGCUCAAGUCAGGCGUGAAAGGCCUGGGCUCAACCCGGGAAUUGCGCUUGAGACUGGGCUGGCUUCAGUGCGGGAGAGGAUGGUGGAAUUCCCAGUGUAGAGGUGAAAUUCGUAGAUAUUGGGAAGAACACCGGUGGCGAAGGCGGCCAUCUGGACCGCAACUGACGCUGAGGCGCGAAAGCGUGGGGAGCAAACAGG
Molecule: ribosomal RNA, 401 nt
Filed under: uncultured bacterium
Lineage: Bacteria
Description: bacterial SSU rRNA
Rfam family: Bacterial small subunit ribosomal RNA
Source: RNAcentral